Molecule: small nucleolar RNA, 103 nt
Filed under: Ophiocordyceps unilateralis
Lineage: Eukaryota; Fungi; Ascomycota; Sordariomycetes; Hypocreales; Ophiocordycipitaceae
Description: A. fumigatus snoRNA Afu_514
Rfam family: A. fumigatus snoRNA Afu_514
Source: Rfam by way of RNAcentral
UUGUAUGAUGAGGUAAUUUGCGAUUGAUGCUGCACGAUGGCCCUCUUGCCGGAGUGGUUAUAUCGAACAGAUACAUGAUAUUCAUUUCUUACAUAUUCUGAAC